RNAcentral lists this long non-coding RNA (5325 nucleotides) under Fragaria vesca (wild strawberry). RNAcentral describes it as "long non-coding RNA (FVES_LNC001076)". The record is from RNAcentral. Lineage: Eukaryota; Viridiplantae; Streptophyta; Magnoliopsida; Rosales; Rosaceae.
GAUUUUUAACCUUGUCUUGUUAAAUAGAUGAAAAAUGAUCACAUGAAUGAAGCAAAUGUCUAAAGUGCCCAUUCAUCAACCUCAUUUAAAGAAAAUCGUAUUUACCUUCUAAACAAAAGGAUAUUAUUACUGUCAAUCUCAAUUCUCACGAAUACAGGAAUAUGCAGCCCCUCUUUCUUCUGCAAAUAUGAAUCCAAGACUUGCAGCCAUUACUCUUGAAUCCAAACACUAAUUGAAGAGAAACUCAUCGAAAUGAAAGAACUGGAGUACUAUGCUAGCUCAAUGGAAUAAUCUUUGCAUGAGGACCUAAGUCUUCAAUUUUAAUUUGCAGGGUACAGAGAAUACAAGUUGUUUAUAAAAAUAUGCCCUAAUACCCUAGUUUUAUUUCUCUAUAAGUAUCCAUCAAGGCCAUAACGAACUUGAGGUUUUUAGAUUAUUUUUCAUUAUUUUGUCGAAAUUCUUGACCAAUAUUUUGGAUCUUAUGUGACACGACCCACCCCGAAUUUCACCCUGAAACCCAGAGUAAGUCGUGCGGGGACCACCUCCAAGGAAAAUUUACUGAAAAGAUUAAGAAAAUCUCCCUUGCAGAUGGACAACCCUAACUCGAAAAUUUCAUAUUACACUCUUAAUUUAAUGCUUCUGAAUAUCUCAUAAUAUACAAAAUUCUAAAGUAUUCAGAGCUACUAAACACAAGCGGAAGCAAGAAAACACAAGUAGGUUGAACAGGUAACCUACUGAUGAAAACUGGCCGAAAAGCGGGUGACUAUGCCUCGUCUCCUACUAGAUCCAACCCGAACUCUGCAGACUGGGCAAUUUAAAACGAAGGGCCCAGGGGAAAACAUUUAAUAACGUUAGAGUGAGUGGACAAAAAUAAAUUAAUAAUUAAAAAUAUUUAAUGUUUCCCCAAAUUAAUUUCUAAGGAAAAUCGAAUGCAUGCCGCAAGCGAUAAAACCUUUAUCCCAUAAAAUAUCGAGCCUCUCAGACUCUAUAAUAUAUGUAUGUAUUUACACUCGUCCAUACUCCCUAUAUAAAUUCAUGGNNNNNNNNNNNNNNNNNNNNAAAACCUAUGAAAUUUUAACAGCAUCUUCCUCUCAUCAAGCUCUACAACUUUCAUAACUAGCACAAACACCAAUUCCAAGCCUAACUAGGGCAAUCGACUAAAAACAUCAAAAACACCAUAAAACUUCCACCUCAAAUUUCUCCUUACCUAGCUCAAGAGGGAGUGAGUCCUUUUAGGGCAAGGUUGCUGGGUUGGAGGGCUACAAAACCAUACCAAGCUUGCCCGGAUUGGUGGCCGGAGGAGGAAGUUCCGGCGAAGGAGAGCUACGGCAGUCGGACCUUUCGGGCGGCACCGCUCACUCACGGCGGCGCUAGGGGGGCUGCUACCGGUCUAGAAAUGUUGCUGGGAGGGAGACCGAUCGAUUGGGACCGGUGUGGCGGUCUGGGGCGGCCGGACGGCGGCGGACGGCGGUGGAGAACUUUCCGGGUGGAGAAAGGAGAAAACCGGGUGGGAAGAGAAGAAAAAUCGGGAGGGAGAGAGAGAGAAAGGAAGAAGAAAUGGGUUGGGCUCGGCCCAGCCGACCCAACUCUCCUUUUAACCCAAAAUUCCAAAAUUCAACACCCCGAAAAAUAAUACCCGAAUAAAAAUUACCUUUUACUAGCUAAAAUUUACUCUUUUUACCGUCGUCGUAUUUUCUUCAUACUAAUAAUCCUCCGCACAUAAUCGUCCCCGAAACCCCUCUAGGGACCAAUUAAACUAUUUACUCAAUGAUCGAGACGGUAAAAUUCUUAUUAUAAUCACGCUAGUAAAUAAGGUAAAAAUAUAAGGGUCGGGAUGUGACAUUAUGUGAAAAUAGGUUUGAUCUUUAACUUCUGCAAGCCUUAUUUUGUUUGCGGUAGUUUGAUAAAAAGAGAUCUCUUGGUACUUGCACAACUAUCUAACAACGCAAAAGAGAUGAGAUCUCUAUGAGGGUUGCAAUCCGAACGUAAUAUUGGCCUCUCCGUUUCAUUAUGGUGUUGAUGACUCUAAAAGUAACUAGCUCGAUGCACUCAUGAAUUCAACAAUAGAUUUGUUCUUCUUAUGCCAUAUUUCUCAAAUAGAGUCAUGUUUCUCAACUUGUUAUCCACAAUAAAAUACAAUAUUUGAAAAAAAAGAUGAGUCGUAUGAGAUAAAGAAAGAUGAUCAUGAGCUCCAUGAAAGGAGAAGAGAAGUGUAUCUUCUGUUGUAUCAAACACUUGAAAUAAAAAUAUGAAAAAAAUAAUAAAAAGAAGAGUCUUCGUUGGUGAAGGAUCGAAUAAGAAUAUAAUUAAGGAGUUUUGGUACAAGAAUUAUACAGUAAAGCAAUUGCAAAGAAGAAUGAUGACAAGGACAAUUAUGACUAUUCAUCACUUAAGAUGGUCAAUUUUCAUUAGUUUGAGAAAACUUAGUUAAAAAUCAUUUUGAGUCCUUAAAAGAGGUCAUUUUUCAAAAUUACUCCAUAUAUAUACUCCCUGCUCUUCACAUCAUGAUGGCGUAGAGGGUACCGAGCUUCAGUGAUAUCGCCGGUAACAUCACAUCAUGGUGGAUAAGGCUUGAGUGACUCCAAUGCAAACGUAGAAGUCUCAUCGUCUCGAAAGACUAAACAACAUGUUAGCAUCAAUAAUGAACGAUCGAUCUAACAAUUCAAGUAUGACAUAAGAUAAUACACAUAAAAUCAUUUGUGUUUCCCCGAAACUCAUAAAUCAAGCAUAAGUAUUUUUCCCAACCGUACUCGAAAAAUUUCAAAAGAAAAGAAAUAAAAUAAAUUUAAUUACUUGUCUCACACGCUAAAAUGUUCAACAAAAUAAAUAACUCAAAUAAUUAUCUUGUUCCGAAAACUAGACAAUACCAAAUCCUUAAUAAAGUGAUCUCAAUUCAAAAACUAGACAAUACCAAAUCCUUACUAAAGCAAUCUCAAAUCCGGAAAUCAUAAAGAAUAUCAUCACUCAAAUACCAAAUUAAUAACCGAAGAUCAAAUCCAUAAAUCAUGACAAAAAAUUAAUCAAAGCAACAAACUCAAAUAAAUUUCAAAAACCAAUUCAAAACUCGAAAUUAUAAUAUGAGCUCGGAAAAUUAAACGAUAACUUAAAUCAUGCAUGCAUAUUUAUUAAAAACUUAAGUGUCCACUCAUAGUGAUUCGGUAGUGUUAGCUAUCAAGCUGAGACUUCCUAAGUCAAAAAAUUGAUAAUUUUUAAUUUGAUACUAUACUAUCUUUAAUUUAAUACCCAACUAUUAAAUUCCAUCAGUUUACUACUUGAUAACAAAACUGGAAAGACGUAAACAAACAACAUCUGGCCUUCAAGGAGCAUAUACAACCAACUACGAAUGUUGGAUCUGAAACCUAUUUGGCACUGCCACUGCCAUUACCAUAUUAACAACGAGAACUAGGGACAUCACUUUUCAAGCACUCAUACUCAUCCUAGAAUGAGAAAAACAUUUUUAGGUUAAAUCCAUUAACAUGAAAGCCAAAAGCUAACCAGAGUAAAAAACCGAAACCCUAAAGCUCUCUCUCUCUCUCUAUCUCUCCUCUCUCUAAGUCGGCAGCCAACCACAAAAUCUCACCCUCAUCCGGUGACGGUCUAAAGAUAGGCGGGUCUCUAGAUCUACUAAAGCCAUAUGACUUUGUUGCCGGAUGAAGGAUAUGUCAGCAACCAAAUGCUUUUAGAGGUAAUUGGCCAAAGGUUCUUAACAACUUUUGAUCAGCGUGGCUUUUCAGAUUAGGUUAAAGGUAUGGCACCAUGGACUCGAGGAGCAUAUCUGGUUUCAUCUUCCGGAUUCCAUCUUCGUCCUUGUUUGGGAGGAGUUUUUGGUUUGGUGGAGAUGUAGUUUGGUCUCUAAGUUCGUGGCGACGAUGAAGUUUCUUCUCCCCGGGAUGUGCUUGUGGCUGCGCGGAACAAGGCGGCGAUGUCUCACGAAGGCAACUUCAUCUCACGGCGGCGACAGCGACGGGGUGUUCUUCUUCCAUGUCCUUCCUGCAACUGUGAAGGAAAGUUGGGCUAGGUCAAUUGUUUUGGGUUUAGGUUUAAUUUCUUUUUGGGCUUUGGACUGCUUUUUUAGUUUAUAGUUUUCUAUCACAAUAAGUUCUUUUCAUUAGGACUCUAAGCACUUUUUAAUGCCUUAUAGGUAUUAGCGUUAUGAGUCUAUUUUUCUAUUAGUCUUUUUCUAGUCUUCUAGGUGGGAUCUUAGCUUAUAAUCUAUUUUCUAUUAGAUUGUAGGCUCACUUGUGAGCCAAAAUGUAAAUGAGGAUACAACCCUCAUACGAAUCUUAUGAUCUUGCUUGUCCUCUGUACGCAUGACAACUGAUCGAUUUGUAUUGUGUCAUCUACUUUAAUACUAAUGACAAAUUGUCUUUGAGUUAAAAAAUAAAAAAUAAAAAAAUAACCAGAGUAGCACAUACACACACCAAAAAUUGAGCUGCUAGCAGGCGCGGCCCAAGGGCUGUGCCCAGUGGGCAACCGAUCGAAGGCCUUAAAAAAAAUUCACCCAAAUACUGUUUAAAUUAAACAAAAGGUCAUAUAUUAAAAAUUGAGUAUGUAGUUUGUGUUUAUGAUCGAUGAAUACCUAGAAGGAGGAAAAUGAGUCGAAUGGAUGCAGAUUCGUUCGAGAAGGGAUUUGUCCGGGUUUGAGAUUUGGGAGAUUGACCUGCAAGAGAACAAUGAGAUUACAGAGGCGCCCGAAUCCACUAUGACGCUCAAGUUAGUCAUUUGCGGACAAUGGGAAUGAAAAGUGGAGAAUGGAAAAGUUGCCCGUAUUUUUAAGCGCUGAGGCGGGGGGUGGGGUUUGCACUGAUUUGAGGAUGCCAGCUGUAGACAACUGUCCCCGCACUCUUUUGAAGGAGGCUUAAAGUGCGUGCUCCGAACUGAGCCGUACCCGUGCGUCCACGUGUACGGUCGGGAGGCGUAUGACGCUAAGCUGACAGGAUAAGACGCAUGCACAAGACUUAGUUAGAGCGCUUGGAGUGGUUCCCACCAACAGUUCGGUUGGUUAAGGUUUUGGCUCUGUGAACUUAUGACCCAAGUUCGAGUCUUAGCACUCUCACUAUUUAUCCUCGAUUUUUUGUGCUUUUUUUUUCCUUUUUUUUUUGCAAGUUUUUUGCCUUUUCCUUUUCCUUUUUAUUUGUUUUUUUUUUUUUCAAGUUUUCUUCUUUUCUUACAUAUAAGGGAUCCUACGCGACUUCUGCUCUCCUUAUUCCCUUUGUUAUGUUCUUCUUUAUUCCCUCAGUUAUAUUCUUCCUUCUUCUGACAGACAAAAAAAAACCCUUACUUUGGCUAUUUAAAGAUUAUGUUCAACAAUUGCAUUAGCUGUAU